UAAGGAAUAUUGGUCAAUGGACGCAAGUCUGAACCAGCCAUGCCGCGUGAAGGAUGAAGGUCCUCUGGAUUGUAAACUUCUUUUAUCUGGGACGAAAACGGGAUUUUUAUCUCAAUUGACGGUACCAGAGGAAUAAGCACCGGCUAACUCCGUGCCAGCAGCCACGGUAAUACGGAGGGUGCGAGCGUUAUCCGGAUUUACUGGGUUUAAAGGGUGCGUAGGUGGGCUUAUAAGUCAGUGGUGAAAUCUCCGAGCUUAACUUGGAAACUGCCGUUGAUACUAUAGGUCUUGAAUUAUCUGGAGGUAAGCGGAAUAUGUCAUGUAGCGGUGAAAUGCUUAGAUAUGACAUAGAACACCAAUUGCGAAGGCAGCUUACUACAUAUAAAUUGACGCUGAGGCACGAAAGCGUGGGGAUCAAACA
This 421-nucleotide ribosomal RNA is filed under the name uncultured bacterium. RNAcentral's name for it is "bacterial SSU rRNA". It matches the Rfam family "Bacterial small subunit ribosomal RNA", at positions 355 to 774 of the family's 1533-position model. The record is from RNAcentral.